Molecule: ribosomal RNA, 433 nt
Filed under: uncultured bacterium
Lineage: Bacteria
Description: partial 16S ribosomal RNA
Rfam family: Bacterial small subunit ribosomal RNA
Source: RNAcentral
AGCGAACGCUGGCGGCAGGCCUAACACAUGCAAGUCGAACGAACUCUUCGGAGUUAGUGGCGGACGGGUGAGUAACACGUGGGAACGUGCCUUUUGGUUCGGAAUAACUCAGGGAAACUUGUGCUAAUACCGAAUGUGCCCUUCGGGGGAAAGAUUUAUCGCCAUUAGAGCGGCCCGCGUCUGAUUAGCUAGUUGGUGAGGUAACGGCUCACCAAGGCGACGAUCAGUAGCUGGUCUGAGAGGAUGACCAGCCACACUGGGACUGAGACACGGCCCAGACUCCUACGGGAGGCAGCAGUGGGGAAUCUUGCGCAAUGGGCGAAAGCCUGACGCAGCCAUGCCGCGUGAAUGAUGAAGGUCUUAGGAUUGUAAAAUUCUUUCACCGGGGACGAUAAUGACGGUACCCGGAGAAGAAGCCACGGCUAACUUCGUG